CCUCCCAGGGCAGGCGUGGCGUGCUGCCUCCUGAGAGGCUCAGAUUGAGCCUGGAGGUGGAGUAAGAGCGACGGCCUUUCUGUGCCGAGGGGUGUAGGCGGUGGGGCUGCUUGUCCUCUCCCACACCGUCUUCCCCCCCCCCUCACCCGCCGCCGUCAAUGAGAGCCGGGGUAAGAUGCGGCUGCCGCCAGGGACUGGGAGGCCGCGAUGGAGAGGGGGAGGGAGGAAGCGGCUGAAGAUGUAGGGGCAGGAGGAGGAGGAGGAGGAGGAGGAGGAGGAGGGAGGCAGCCCGAGUCUCUCAGGAUGUCGGAGAGCGGCGGGGGCCUGAAGACGGUGCGGGUCUGGAGGGAGGCGGCUCGCCGCUGCCGCAAACUCCACGGGAACUGGCGCCAGCUGAGCCAGAGCGGCCCGCGGCUCAGCCUGCCUUCGGACAUCGGCCGCGUCCAAGUGCUCAACCUGGCCAACAACUCGCUGCUCGAGCUGCCCGACGGCCUCGACUCCUCUCUGUCCGAGCUGCGGGCGCUGAUCCUGCGGAGGAACCGCCUGAGGCGCCUGCCGUCCCGGCUCUGCGGUCUGCCGCUGCUCGACGAGCUCGACCUGGCUCACAACUUGCUGUCGGGGCUGCCGGCCGAGCUGGGGGGCCUGGGCCGCCUCCGCCGCCUGUGCCUGAGCCACAACAAGCUGCAGCAGCUGCCGGCCGAGCUCGGCGGCCUGUCCGCCCUCGAGGAGCUCGACGUCAGCUUCAACGAGCUGCGCCAGCUGCCGGCCAGCCUGGGCCUACUGGCCAGGCUCCGCGCCCUGGACGUCGACCACAACCGCCUGAGCCACUUCCCGCUUCAGAUCCUGCAGCUGGCCGAGCUGGAGGAGCUGGAUUUCUCCGGGAACCAGAUCCGGGCCUUGCCCCGGGACAUCCCGAGGCUGCGCUCCGUCAAGAUCCUGUGGCUGAGCAGCCUCCGCCUGUCGUGCCUGCCCGACACCUUCUGCGGCCUGGCCGCCCUCGAGAGCCUCAUGCUGGACAACAACAGCCUGCGGGCGCUGCCCGAGCGCUUCGGCGAGCUCGGCCGCCUCAAGAUGAUCAACCUGUCGUCGAACCGCUUCGAGGAGUUCCCCGCCGCCCUGCUGCAACUCACCGGCCUGGAGGAGCUCUACCUCAGCCGCAACGAGCUGUCCGUCAUCCCGGCCGGCAUCGCCGCCAUCAGCAACCUGGCCGCCCUGUGGCUCGACAACAACAAGGUGCGCUACCUGCCCGACUCCAUCGUGGAGCUCGCCCACCUCGAGGAGCUGGUGCUGCAGGGCAACCAGAUCGCCAUCCUGCCCGACUCCUUCGGCAGGCUCUCCAAAGUCAGCCUCUGGAAGGUCAAGGACAACCCCUUGAUCCAGCCGCCCUACGAGGUCUGCAUGAAAGGCAUCCCCUACAUCGCGGCCUACCAGAAGGAGCUGGCGCUCUCGCAGCCCGCCGUCAAACCCAGGCUCAAGUUGGUGCUGAUGGGCUCCAAAGGCGCCGGCAAGACCUCCCUCAGGCAGUGCUUGGUUGGAAACGCACCGGGUACCCCUGCACCUCACGCCAAGGGCAUCGAGGUGACCCAGUGGGUGGCGGAUGCUGAGAAAAACCUCACCUUUAUUGUCUACGAUUUGGCUGGGGACCAGAACUACGACCUUAUCCAGCCCUUCUUUCUCUCCCCGGGCGCUCUCUACGUGCUGGUGGUCAGCCUGAAAGCCUAUGCCCCCCAUCGGUUCUACGAACUGGUCGGGUACUUCUUGCACUUGCUCGGUGCCAGGGUCCCUCACGGGGUCGUAUGUGUGGUGGGAGCACAUGUGGACCAGUGCAAUGACAAAGAGGUGGAGGAAAAAUGCCUGGACAUCCAUCAUCAGAUCGCACUCCAGGAAAAGCGAGAUGUUGAGUCCAUGCAGGCUGUGGCAGAGAAGGUGGAUGGGGCACUGGGGCAAGGGCUUGAGCUGCGAGCUACAAGUCCACAUGCACCCUUUUAUGGAGUCUCUGAUAAAAAUUUGAGGAGGAAGAAGGCCCAAGUGCAGUACCUAUUGAACAACCGUCUUCAGAUCCUGUCCCCAGUUAUCACAGUCAGCUGUCAGGGGGACCAUGUUGGAAUAAAUCGCUUGAAGGAGAAACUGCUUUCUGUGGCUGAACAUCGAGAGAUUUUUCCGAAUCUGCACAGAGUCUUACCUAAAUCCUGGCAAAGGUUGGAGGAACUGCAUUAUAAACCUCAAGAACUCUGGCUUUCCUGGUGGGACUCUGCCAGGCUGGGAUUACAAGCUGGUCUUACUGAGGACCGACUCCAAAGCGCCCUGUCCUACCUGCACGAAAGUGGCAAGCUGCUGUAUUUUGAGGAUAGUCUGACUCUCAAAGAGUGUGUCUUUCAUAACUUGACCAAGCUGAUCGACAUCUUGAAUGUCUUCUUCCAGCGCGAUGCCUCAGUUCUGCUCCAGAAACUCCUGGCAGAUGCCAAUAUUGAUGAGCUGAGGGCAACACAACUCCACCAUUAUGUGGAGGGAUUCCUGCUUCAUGGACUGCUUCCUCUGCACAUUAUUCGACUGCUUCUCAAGCCACACAUCAAAACUCAACAGGAUCUUCAUUUGAUUCUGGAACUACUGGAGAAGAUGGGACUCUGUUACUGCCUCAACAAACCUAAAAUUACCCCUAUAAAUGGUGUACCCAUUUGGUUUAAAUUCCCCUGUUAUGUGAAAAAUGAAGUUCCUCAUGCAGAAGCCUGGAUUAAUGGGUCCAACCUUUCUGGACAACAGUUAGCAAUUGAACAGCUCCAGGUGGAAUACAGUUUCCCUUUUUUGUUCCCACCAGGCCUAUUUGCCAGAUAUAGUGUACAGAUCAACACUCACAUUGUACACCGGUCAGAUGGCAAGUACCAGAUCUUUGCUUACAGGGGCAAGGUUCCAGUGGUGAUCAGUUACAGACCAACCCAAAGUAGUCUGCAAGCAGACACCUUAUCUAUUGCUAGUCAUGCUUCUUUGCCAAAUAUUUGGACUGCGUGGCAAGCCAUAAUUCCUCUGAUGGAAGAACUGAAUGUACUCCUCCAGGAGUGGCCGGGGUUAUACUUCACUGUGCAUGUCCUGUGCUCUAAGUGCCUUAAAAGAGGGUCCUCAAAUCCUCACACCUUUCCGGGGGAAUUACUGACCCAGCCCAGACCAGAAGGAGUAACUGAGAUCGUCUGUCCCAAAAAUGGGAGCGAGCGAGUGGAUGUGGCUUUGGUUUAUCCUCCGACCCCCACUGUGAUCAGUCCCUGCUGUAAGUGAGCAGUGGGCCAUCCUGCUAGUCUUCAUCAGAAACAAAACCUUUAAAAUUCUGUUCAAUUAUUUGGCAGGCAACAAGGUUUUGGAAAGAAUAAGGUUGAUAUUGAGCUGAAGUGUUUGUGACCGGUCGUGGAAUGUUUAUUUGGAUAUGCGGAAGAAAAGGGCUAACCUGCAGAUGCUCUUCGACAGUGGAUUCGUAGCAGUUCCAUGAUGGCACAGGACAUUGAAGAUAUUGUACAUGAAUGAAUGAAUGAAUGAAUAAUUGUCCGCACACAGCGCAGAGGGAGGCUCUCCCGUCCGCUCAAAGUUGUCCUUCCUUGGAUUUUCAUCAUUUGGAAGCAAACUGACCGAUACACCCAUUCUUCCAACAAAUAGUGCAGACACGGUGUUCCACGACUUAUUUUUUUGGAAUAGGUGGCUCUUCAGGGAUUUUCUUUUGCAGUGUUUUACUAAAGCCAUACUUUCAGUGUUGUCAAUCGGAAUAAAAUGCCAAAUGCAGCUGUUCUGCCCUCGAGUCUGAGGCACAGAUGAUCUGGAGUCUGUAAGCAUAUCAGCACUAUUUUUGAUUUUUAAACCCAAUGAACGAUUUAAUUUUAAAGCUUUUGAGGAAUCGGUUGUGCAAUACUCAGUGUGAUAAAGCAGUUGUACUCACAUUGUGUUAUAGGCAUCAUCCUCCUUGUUAAUAGUUGGGCAAGGCCCCAGUUGUUCCUGAUCUGAUUCAUCACGUUUCCCAAUAUGCAGGGGAAUGGGUUAAAGCUGCAAGGUCCCAUUGUUUCCAAUUAUUCGUUCAGGAUUAUUCGUUAAAGUGGAAUCCUAGUAAACAAGUGACAUUUGGAGGAUGCAUUUUCUUGACAAAAUAUGUCUUAAAUGACACAACAUCUGCAUUAUUCUUUCUUCCUAUCUGUACUGUAUCGAAGUAUGUUUUCCCUUCUCUGUGGGAACUCCCUCAUCCUUGGGUUAGUACAUUGUGAAUUCAAAUCCUACUCUAGACCUUAAGCUAGUAAUCCAGGCUGACACUUCAGUAUAGCACCAAGGGAGUAUCAUACUGUUAACAUUUUUGUCUUUCGGGUGAGAUGUUAAAAUACAAACCCCAUCUGCCCUCUUAUUGAGGAAAAAUCCAAAAACAUUGGAGAAAUGCAAGGGAGUUCUCCUGUUCUGGACAGCAUUCGUCCCGUAACGAACAUCACCAAAGAAACAUUAACCUGUUAUUCUUCCAAUUGCUGUUUGUUGGGUCUUGCUGUAUGAGAACUGUUGACUGUUUUUGUACAUAACAGUGACUACAUUUCAAAAAGUAUUCAAUGGAAUAUGAACCAUUGGGGGCAUUCUAAGAGCAUGAUAAGGCAGUUUAUUAGGACAAGUACUUUCUGCUGCAAAGGGCUUUUCAAAGUUGUGCACCGCCUACAAAACAUUUUUGUUAAAUUAACACAUCUGAAGAAAAGAAGUAAAAUCAGUGCAGCUUACAAAUAUUUUUAUUUCUUAUGUAUUGCUAAUAAAAUGUCCAUUGCAAUGGGACUGAAACAUUUGCACAUCAAGUCACCUUGGAGAAAUGACACUUAUUAAAAAAAAUCAAUGGAAACUUUUCUGCUUCAAUUUUAUGAUUGCUGCUAGACAGGCCCAGAAUGAUGUACAAGGAUUGAAUGAAGUUCAUAAGUUUGCCUGUGCUGUAGAAAGUUGUUUUGGUAAACAUUGUUUUAAAUAUUUAUUCCAGGGUAUAAUGAGACUGUCAAAGCUAUAUUUGUUACCCAUCCCUCGUUACCUUAAAGUAUCACUUUUACAACUAAGGUGUAUGUAAGACCACGUAACAGAUCAUUGUAGCUGAUCUUGUAUAGACAGAUGGAGUAACAUCAGUGAACCAGUUCGUUGUUUUUUUUUUAAAACAAUACAACAGGAGGUAAUUUCUUUUAUCCUCCAAUCCCACCCUUUGAAUCCUCGAUGCAUUAAAUUGAAUUUCCCCCUCCUCCCCCUUUUUAAUGAAUGAUCAGUCAAAGGAUUAUGCUGUGGCAUAUUCUCCUCUGAAGGUUUCACUUGGGAGUUUUGAUAUCAAGUUGGAGUCCUGGGAGAAGCUUGUGCACGAUAGCUGCACCUGGUGCAACCAAAUAGAAGUGCAAUGGCCUCCUUUGAAAAGUGCAUAUCAGAUUGACAGGGAAAACACAAGGAGGGUAAAUUCCAGUCAGCUGUGGUAUGCUGUGCUAUUUGAAAUAGAACCUUCCAGACACAUUGGCCUAAGCAGUAACCCAUGAACCCAGUAGCUCCCCACCAGUUUUGGGCAGUGAACAUGAACAUGGUCAUCUUCGCCUCAAAGGAGAAACAGGAAACUAAAUUCAAGUAUCUGUCUUAACUUAGCCUUAACUGUAUGCUGAGCAUCACUAUCUCUCUGUGGUAGAGAUUUCUGAAAGUUCAUAACCCUUUAUGUAUUGGAAUUUCUCCUUUCAUCUCCGUCUUAGACGGCCUUUCCCUUAAUCGGAGACUGAGCCAUAAUGUUAAACUCCCCAGGAGAAUCACUGUUGAACCUUAAUGCAGUCUUUCUAAGGAAAAUACGUCCUUCUUCUGGUAAGGAACCCAAAAUUGUACACAGUAUUCCAAAUGUGGCUGUAGCAAGGCUCCAAAAUAGUGAACCAGAACUUUUUUACUUGUACUCCCAAUUUGUUUGUAGUAAGGAUUAGCAUACCAUUUGUUCUUAGUUUUCUGUGUUUAACCUGCAUAUGAAUGUAUGUGAUUUAUGUAUGAGAACACCCAGGUCCUUGUGAAUGCCAAUAUUUCCCUGACACUCUCCACUUAAAAUGUUCUGCUUUUCUAUAUUUUCUGCCAGUGUGGAUGCCUUCACAUUAUGCUGUAUUGGCCAAGUUCUUCCACACUCCCUUAUCUAAAUCGCUUUACUGUCUCUCUGUAUCCUUUGCACAGCUUAUUUUCCUAUUGCCAUAUAUCUUCAAACUUGGAUAUGUUAUACUCUCCCACCUUAUUUAUAUCAUUGUUAGAAAUUGAACAUUGCUGAAGCCUAAGCACUGAGCCUUGCAGUAAACCACCACCACCUAGAUGCAAUCACAAACUGACCUGCUGUUUGGACAGUUAUGUGUUUAAACUACUCCUCUAUCUCUCAAAGUUUGUUUUUAUGUAAUAGCCCUUGUGUGGCAUCUUACUGAAUUUUUUUUUUGAGAAUCCAAAACCCUUGGUUCGCACCUCCCCUAUCCAUCCUACUGGUUGCAUCAUAAACUCUUAACAGAGCUGUGAAACCCUAUUCCCCUUUCAGCAAUUAGUACUGACUGUAUCUAAUCAGGGCAUGGUUUUCUAAGUGCCCUUAUAACAGAUUCUAGCAAUUUCCCUGUUACUGAGGUCAAGCUAAGUAGCUUUUAAUUUCCUGUGUUUUCUCUCUUUCUUGAACAGCUAGGUUACCUUCUAAACUCUAAGACAUAGGGAAUUCUGGAAGAUCAAAACCAAUGCAUCCACUAGCUCUGUAGCCACUUCUUUUAAAAUUCCGCAGUGUUGUUUAUCAGGUCCAAAGAAUUUGUUUGCUUAACUUCUCCUGUACUGUUUCUUCACCAAUGUGUUCUUCACUUGCUUUAGAGUCUUGGAUUCCCUUACCUCUUGGAUGCUUUUUGUGCUGUAUAUCAUAUUAGGGGAGAAUGAAGGGAGUUUUGUAUAUUUUUAGUCUCCUUACUUGAUAUUGCAGUUGCUUUCAUAGAAUGUUAACAGCCUGGAAAAAGGCACCAGUCAUCAAGCAUCUAAUUAUUCAAAUCCAAUUUUCAAGCACUUUACCUGUAGCCUUAUAUGCUGUGGCGUUCUGAGUGCUCAUUCAAAUAUCUUGAGGGUUUCUGUCUCUACCACCUUUUUAGGCAAUACGUUCCAGAUACCCACAACCUUCUGUAUAAAAAAAAAGCUUUUCCUCAAAUCUUCUCUAAAUCUCUUACUCCUCACUUUAAACUGUGCCCCCCUGGUUAUUGAACAUUUCUACUAAUAGAAAUAGUUUCUUUGUUACUCCCUGUCCACCCUAUCUAUGCUCCUCAUGACUUUGUACAAUUCAAUCAGGUUCCAUUCUCUGCUCUAAGGAAAACAACCCCAGUCUUACCUGGUCUCUCCUAGCUGAAUCUCUUUGACCCAGGCAACAUCCUGGUGAAUCUCCUCUGCACCCUGUCUAGUGUAAUCACAUCCUUGCAAUAGAGUCAUUUAGUUGAUCGUUUGUCAUAUGAGAUGGUUGACUCUUCAUGAAGUGGUCGGCAGUAUCAGCAAAUCUUCAUGAAUGCGCAUGGCUGUGUCUUCCCAACAAGCAGCUGAUUCCAUCCCCUUUGAGUGGUAGCUCUACAUAGAGCUUGCCUGUCUAUAACUCGAUCAAGGCUGGCAAUAAACUGUUUCAUGAGCAAUUGUUUUCAUUUUCACUUUGUGGGACUUUUUAAUUCAACUUCAGGAUGAGAAGAUCAUUGGCAAGGCCAACAAUUAUUGUCCUUUUCAGGAAUUGCCCUCCGAAGGUGAUGGUGGCUGCCUCUUUGAAUCCCUAGCAGAGACUUGAUACAACUGAGCUGUUGGCUGAACCGGCCACUUCCAAGAACUGUUAAGAGGUUGUCAAAUUGGUGAAGGACUGUGAUAGAGUUAGGAGCCACGUGUAAACCAGACCAGCGAAGGGCAGCGAGUUUCUUGUACAAAAGGACGUCAGUGAGUCAGUUAAGCUCUGAUUUAUUCACCACUAGUUACUUAAUCCAGGCCUUAACAUUUAUUAGUCCAAGUUCGUGGCAAAGGUGCAUUCCUGUAUUGAAGUUGAAAUCUCCCCCACCUUAUGAUGCUCCAUUUCUUUCAGCAAUGGACCUUUUUGCCACUUCUCCACCAGACAUGUUCACCAUGGUUCUAGAUUUAAACAUAUAGUUGGAGACAACCCUUCUACUGUGCGACAAUUGGAAACAAUUUCUUGUUCCAGAUAUUUCCUGUUUUUUGACACUGACCAUUCAGUCCCAUUUAUCUUUAAUGGGUUCUGGACCUUUAUCUCCUUAUAGAUGCUGCCUGACCUGACAAAGAUUUUCUGUUUUUAUCUUAAUGGUUUCUGAUUUUUUUUUUUCUUCCAGCUAAUACAAACAGCCAUUAACCAAAUCAGAGAAUCUUACAACGCAGAAAGAAGCGGUUCAGCCCAUCAUCCCUCUGCCAGCUGUUUGAAAGAGCUAUCCAGUUAAUCCCACCCCUGCUCUGUGGUCCUGUAAAUGUUUACUUUUCAAGUUGCUUCUUAAUUAUUGCACCUACACUGUUAUAAUAAAUUAAUUAAUGUUGGUGAACUUAGCACUCGCUUUUGCCUGUACCUACUUGAACUUUAGUACCACCAACUUCUUGACCCUGCACUAGCAUGCUUUUGACUCUGAAGUAAGUACUUCUCCUUAAUUUUCUAAAGUAUAACUCUAAUGUGGGGGAAGGAAAAAUACAUUUUGAUAAGGUCCUGCUACUAGAGCUGCAGCUGGGGCAACCCUGCUUCACGGAAGCAUAUUCCAAUUAAGAAUCGUGGCCCGACCCUGGAGUUGCCAGCCCAGUCAAAGCUUGGACUCCCUCAGCAGCGCCAUCAGAAGCAGUGGCCAGUGCUGAUACUGCAGCUGCAGUAGAGGGUGCCUCAGUGGCUUGCGCCCUCUAAAAGGAGUAAGUAGUGUUGGAAUGACACUGAGCAAAAUACCUGCCCUGUUGUGACAUAGGCUUUAAUUGGCCACUUAAUUACUUCAGUUGGGUUCCUGCUGGCCAGGUGAUCUGCUGACUGUUGUACUGUUGGGAAAAUAACACAGCAGUGGGAAGAUAUUGAUUGUUUCCCCAACCUCCACAACACCUACCUGUACCAUUAGUCCAGCCUUCCUACCUGCCAAUAAUGUUGGGUAAGGUAGUUGUUCUGAAGGAGUUAAUUUGCAUUAGCCAUCCAAUCUGAUCACGUCACAAUCUUCAGGUGGAGACAGGGAGUUCCACCUUAACUUUUGUCAGGAAUAAAUGUUUUCUGUACAGCUGCCUGUGAGUCCUUCAUAAUUAUGCCUGACUAGUAAUGUAGUUGUAUUAAUUGUUAUCAUGCAAUAAACUCUUGUUAACUAAAA
RNA transcript from Rhincodon typus (whale shark), 9305 nucleotides. It is a transcript of the gene named multifunctional ROCO family signaling regulator 1, with no coding region annotated. The record is from RefSeq and is a predicted model, not a curated record. NCBI's taxonomy places the organism in Eukaryota, Metazoa, Chordata, Chondrichthyes, Orectolobiformes, Rhincodontidae. The transcript has 3 exons.